Molecule: non-coding RNA, 1116 nt
Organism: Ictidomys tridecemlineatus (thirteen-lined ground squirrel)
Lineage: Eukaryota; Metazoa; Chordata; Mammalia; Rodentia; Sciuridae
Source: RefSeq, a predicted model, not a curated record
CUCCACUCUCCUGAGCGACACUAGGAGACUUUCCUCUUUGGAAGGCUGGACUCCAAAGGGAGUUGAAGCCUGCCCCCUGCUCACACCCUCCCCAGGACCACAGCAGUGCGCACUGGCAUCCUGCACUCUCAGAAGAAAUGUCCCUGUCUCCCACAAGGAAACAGAGAAAUGAGAGAAGGGAAUGGGUGGGUAGUGAAGCAGCUGGUUCCACAGAAUGAAAGCCAGCAGGACUGGGUAUCGAUUUUGGCUUUGUGAGAGCAAGGCGUUGGAAGCAAGAAGCCAUGCUGUAAGUGCAGCCCCUCCUCCUGAAAGAGGACAGAGAGCAGCCUGGAGCACAAGGGACUAAUUUGUGUGAAGGAUCCUUGAGAGAUUCUACAAAAUGCAGACGUGGAAGCAUCGUCUCAAGAUUAUGUGCCUGGAAUCUCCUGUUCUUGGAUCAUCUUAGAGUGAAAAAGUGGCUCCUAUCUAAUGCAGAAACCUGACCUUGUGCAUGUGCCUGCUUGUGAAAGCUUGUGAAAAGCUUCUUAACCUUGUGUGUGAUUUUUGCAUUACAGGCUCAAGUCCUUUGCCCUGUGUGGGCCCCUUACUUUGUGGAAGUCCCUUGCCACACACUGACUCCUGCCUUGUGCCUCAGUUUGGGGAAAAGUUUCACAGCCCAUGAUGUCACUAUCCACUGAGCACAAUAGCAAACAAUAAACCCUUUUUUUUUUUUAGCUCCUGUAUGGUUUGGAUCUGGAAUGUCUCCCAAAGGCUCAUGUGUUAAAGGCUUGUUCCCCAGUGAAGCAAUGUUCACAGAUGGGAAUUUGGGGAAGUGGUUGGAUCGUGAGCACUCUGACCUCAUCAGUGGAUUCAUCCAUUGAUAAAUUAUAGCUGAAUGAAUGACUGAAAGGUGGUGGAAACUGUAGGAUGUGGGGCAAAACAGGAGGCAUUAGGUCACUGGGAUGUGUUCUGUGCACUAUUUUACCCCCUUUCUCUCUCUUUCUGCUUCCUGGAUGCCAUGAGAUGAGCAGCUUUGUUCCACAACACCUUCCACCAUGAUGUUUCUGCCUUGGACCCUUCUGACCAUGCACUGAAACUUCUGAGACUGUGAACCCAAAUAAAUCUUUCCUCCUCUAA